Molecule: regulatory RNA element, 114 nt
Organism: Tropilaelaps mercedesae
Lineage: Eukaryota; Metazoa; Arthropoda; Arachnida; Mesostigmata; Laelapidae
Rfam family: Potassium channel RNA editing signal
About the family: This family represents a group of sequences related to the human potassium channel Kv1.1 hairpin element which directs the efficient modification of an adenosine to inosine by an adenosine deaminase acting on RNA (ADAR).
Source: Rfam
GUAGGGUAUGGAGAUAUGGCUCCCAAGACCUACGCGGGAAUGUUCGUCGGAGCACUUUGCGCCCUGGCCGGAGUGCUAACCAUUGCGCUGCCCGUACCUGUUAUUGUAUCCAAU